RNAcentral lists this ribosomal RNA (476 nucleotides) under Actinomyces israelii. RNAcentral describes it as "bacterial SSU rRNA". It matches the Rfam family "Bacterial small subunit ribosomal RNA", at positions 28 to 485 of the family's 1533-position model. The record is from RNAcentral. Lineage: Bacteria; Bacillati; Actinomycetota; Actinomycetes; Actinomycetales; Actinomycetaceae.
GACGAACGCUGGCGGCGUGCUUAACACAUGCAAGUCGAACGGGUCUGCCUUGUUUUUUGCGGGGUGGGUUAGUGGCGAACGGGUGAGUAACACGUGAGUAACCUGCCCCUCACUUCUGGAUAACCGCUUGAAAGGGUGGCUAAUACGGGGUGUUCUGGCUGUGCCGCAUGGUGUGGCUGGGAAAGAUUCACUUUUGUGGUGUUUUGGUGGGGGAUGGGCUCGCGGCCUAUCAGCUUGUUGGUGGGGUGAUGGCCUGCCAAGGCUUUGACGGGUAGCCGGCCUGAGAGGGUGGGCGGUCACACUGGGACUGAGAUACGGCCCAGACUCCUGCGGGAGGCAGCAGUGGGGGGUAUUGCACAAUGGGCGGAAGCCUGAUGCAGCGACGUCGCGUGAGGGAUGGAGGCCUUCGGGUUGUGAACCUCUUUCGCCGGUGAAGAAGGUCCUGUUCUUUGUGGUGGGGCUGACGUAGCCGGGUA